GACGAACGCUGGCGGCGCGCCUAACACAUGCAAGUCGAACGGUGAAGAGGAGCUUGCUCCUCGGAACAGUGGCGGACGGGUGAGUAACACGUGAGCAACCUGGCUCUAAGAGGGGGACAACAGUUGGAAACGACUGCUAAUACCGCAUGACGUAUCGGGAUGGCAUCUUCCUGAUACCAAAGAUUUUAUCGCUUAGAGAUGGGCUCGCGUCUGAUUAGAUAGUUGGCGGGGUAACGGCCCACCAAGUCGACGAUCAGUAGCCGGACUGAGAGGUUGAACGGCCACAUUGGGACUGAGACACGGCCCAGACUCCUACGGGAGGCAGCAGUGGGGGAUAUUGGACAAUGGGGGCAACCCUGAUCCAGCGACGCCGCGUGAGGGAAGAAGGUUUUCGGAUUGUAAACCUCUGCUGAAGGAGAAAAAAAUGAUGGUAUCCGUUUAGAAAGCCACGGCUAACUACGUG
RNAcentral lists this ribosomal RNA (463 nucleotides) under uncultured bacterium. RNAcentral describes it as "partial 16S ribosomal RNA". It matches the Rfam family "Bacterial small subunit ribosomal RNA", at positions 28 to 507 of the family's 1533-position model. The record is from RNAcentral.